Molecule: transfer RNA, 78 nt
Filed under: Aminomonas paucivorans DSM 12260
Lineage: Bacteria; Thermotogati; Synergistota; Synergistia; Synergistales; Synergistaceae
Also listed under: 6 other names
Description: tRNA-Pro
Rfam family: tRNA
About the family: Transfer RNA (tRNA) molecules are approximately 80 nucleotides in length. Their secondary structure includes four short double-helical elements and three loops (D, anti-codon, and T loops).
Source: RNAcentral
CGGGGCGUAGCGCAGUCUGGUUAGCGCGCUUGGUUCGGGACCAAGAGGUCGGAAGUUCGAAUCUUCUCGCCCCGACCA